CCAGACUCCUACGGGAGGCAGCAGUGAGGAAUAUUGGUCAAUGGGCGGGAGCCUGAACCAGCCAAGCCGCGUGAGGGAAGAAGGUACAGCGUAUCGUAAACCUCUUUUGUCAGGGAACAAAGGCGGGGACGUGUCCCCGGAUGAGUGUACCUGAAGAAAAAGCAUCGGCUAACUCCGUGCCAGCAGCCGCGGUAAUACGGAGGAUGCGAGCGUUAUCCGGAUUUAUUGGGUGUAAAGGGAGCGUAGGUGGCAUGGUAAGCCAGAAGUGAAAACCCAGGGCUCAACUCUGUGGAUUGCUUUUGGAACUAUCAAGCUAGAGUGCUGGAGGGGUAAGCGGAAUUCCUAGUGUAGCGGUGAAAUGCGUAGAUAUUAGGAGGAACACCGGUGGCGAAGGCGGCUUACUGGACAGAAACUGACACUGAGGCUCGAAAGCGUGGGGAGCAAACAGGAUUAGAUACCCCUGUAA
This 466-nucleotide ribosomal RNA is filed under the name uncultured bacterium. Its description in RNAcentral is "bacterial SSU rRNA". It matches the Rfam family "Bacterial small subunit ribosomal RNA", at positions 331 to 793 of the family's 1533-position model. The record is from RNAcentral.